RNAcentral lists this ribosomal RNA (627 nucleotides) under Triticum aestivum (bread wheat). RNAcentral describes it as "partial small subunit ribosomal RNA". Lineage: Eukaryota; Viridiplantae; Streptophyta; Magnoliopsida; Poales; Poaceae. The record is from RNAcentral.
AUGAUCUGGGCUAUUCGUGUGCCCCUCAAGAUCAGGAUCUUCAUGUGGCAAUGGAUCCGCGGUCGGCUUCCCUCCGGCGUUGAGGUGUUAAAACGGAAUGGCACGGGCGAUGGGUUCUUCCCCCUAUGUGGGACGGAGGAAACCUCGAAUCACAUCUUCUUCUCGUGCGUUUCCGCCCAGUUCCUCUGGAGCUGCCUCCGUGAGGUUGUCAGGGUAGUUGGUGUAACACCAACUUCCCAGACUUCCUCGCCGAGGUCUAGGCUUCUUCCCCGUCGGGCCGCCAUAUUAGGUGGCUGCUCAUUGGGGUCCUUGAUUGGACGCUCUGGAUCGUGCGUAAUAAGCUUGUCAUCCAGUGUGUGCCUCUUCGACGUGCCACUGACGCGGUGCUCAAAAUGUGUGGUUAUUUGCAGCUCUGGCGGCUGCUUAGCCGCAUUCAGGACCGGGACGCCAUCAACACCAUCAUUGCCGACCUUCGCACGAUGGCUCUCCGCUUGGCGCCGCCGCCUCCUCCUGCACCACCUGAGCCGGAUUAGCUUCUUAGCUGCGGUGUAUCCACCUUUGUUUUUGUUUUCAGCGCUCGUUAAGUUGUGCCCUCAGCAGAACCCUCUUUUACUCUAUGUUGUGUGA